This 301-nucleotide ribosomal RNA is filed under the name uncultured bacterium. Its description in RNAcentral is "partial 16S ribosomal RNA". It matches the Rfam family "Bacterial small subunit ribosomal RNA", at positions 509 to 808 of the family's 1533-position model. The record is from RNAcentral.
CAGUCGCCGCGGUAAUACGUAGGUGGCAAGCGUUGUCCGGAAUUAUUGGGCGUAAAGGGCUCGCAGGCGGUUUCUUAAGUCUGAUGUGAAAGCCCCCGGCUCAACCGGGGAGGGUCAUUGGAAACUGGGAAACUUGAGUGCAGAAGAGGAGAGUGGAAUUCCACGUGUAGCGGUGAAAUGCGUAGAGAUGUGGAGGAACACCAGUGGCGAAGGCGACUCUCUGGUCUGUAACUGACGCUGAGGCUCGAAAGCGUGGGGAGCAAACAGGAUUAGAUACCCCGGUAGUCCUGUCUCUUAUACC